CCUACGGGUGGCAGCAGUAGGGAAUAUUGCUCAAUGGGGGAAACCCUGAAGCAGCAACGCCGCGUGGAGGAUGAAGGUCUUAGGAUUGUAAACUCCUUUUGUGAGAGAAGAUAAUGACGGUAUCUCACGAAUAAGCACCGGCGAACUCCGUGCCAGCAGCCGCGGUCAUACGGAGGGUGCAAGCGUUACUUGGAACCACUGGGCGUAAGGAGUGCGCAGGCGGGCUGGUAAGUCAGAUGUGAAAUCCUGUAGCUUAACUACAGAAUUGCAUUUGAAACUAUGAAUCUAGAGUGUGGGAGAGGUAGGUAGAAAUCUUGGGGUAGGGGUAAAAUCCGUAGAUAUCAAGAGGAAUACUCAGUGCGAAGGCGACCUACUGGAACAUUACUGACGCUCAUGCACGAAAGCGUGGGGAGCAAACAGGAUUAGAUACCCUUGUAGUC
Molecule: ribosomal RNA, 440 nt
Filed under: uncultured bacterium
Lineage: Bacteria
Description: partial 16S ribosomal RNA
Rfam family: Bacterial small subunit ribosomal RNA
Source: RNAcentral